RNAcentral lists this long non-coding RNA (797 nucleotides) under Serinus canaria (Common canary). RNAcentral describes it as "lncRNA (ENSSCAG00000011709.1)". The record is from RNAcentral. Lineage: Eukaryota; Metazoa; Chordata; Aves; Passeriformes; Fringillidae.
CUUCCUCCUGCUGGGUCCCUGCUCCUACUUUCUGGAGCCAGCACUGCGGGGUGGCAGGCAUGUUGGGAUUUGCAGCAUCAGGGUGUAGCCUCCAACACACACCCCAGUAAUCUGGUCUUACCUGCUGCUCACUCAGACAGCGGUGAGGAAACGCUGGGGGUUGAGCUGCUCUUCCCCACGAGCUGAGCCUCCAGGGGACAGCGAGGGGCAGAUGUGUGAGCCCACCUGGCUGAGCGGACACAGAGUUCGUGGGCUGAGGCACCGAGAUCUGGGGAGCCAGGCAGAAGUGCAUCAGGAAGUGAGAAAGGAGAAGAGACAAACUGCAGCAUGCCAGAGCAGAAGCAGCCGCAGCGCGGUAGGGGCCAGCUGUGAUUUGGAUGAAGAGCCUGCCCGGUUCUGUUUUGAUCCAAGCUGCUUUGUGGGUUUGGGGCCCGGAUCAAGACCUCUGCAGAAGCAGCAAUCACCAAGCUCCAAGCCAGCCCACAUCCACACUUGGCUCUUCUCCAGCAGUGAGGAAUUGUACUGACAGCUGGCAGUGAUCCUCCAUCGCCUUGUCACCUCAUAACCACUGGAAAGAACUGCUGAACUGGGGGCAGAAGCAGACUCCACAUUACCAUCCGUGCCAGAUGACCACAGACCAGCAAUCCAAAGCAGUGCCAGCCAAGAGAGAUACUGCCCAUCUACCUCCCAGCAGCAGAUGACAGGAAUGACCUGCCCGUGGCUCCUCAGCGGGGAACGACUUCCCUCAGUGCUCUUCUUUGUGCCUCCUUAGCCCAUCACCAGGCUCAGCCAUCUCA